GAUGAAGAACGUAGCGAAAUGCGAUAAGUAGUGUGAAUUGCAGAAUUCAGUGAAUCAUCGAAUCUUUGAACGCACAUUGCGCCCCUUGGUAUUCCAUGGGGCAUGCCUGUUCGAGCGUCAUUUGUACCCUCAAGCUUUGCUUGGUGUUGGGUGUUUGUCCUCUCCUUUGCGUUUGGACUCGCCUUAAAGCAAUUGGCAGCCAGUGUUUUGGUAUUGAAGCGCAGCACAUUUUGCGAUUCUAGCCGAUAAUACUUGCGUCCAUAAGCCUUUUUUAACUUUUGACCUCGGAUCAGGUAGGGAUACCCGCUGAACUUAAGCAUAUCGAUAAGCGGAGGA
This 336-nucleotide unclassified non-coding RNA is filed under the name soil metagenome. Its description in RNAcentral is "partial contains 5.8S ribosomal RNA, internal transcribed spacer 2, and large subunit ribosomal RNA". The stretch from base 1 to 120 matches the Rfam family "5.8S ribosomal RNA", at positions 35 to 154 of the family's 154-position model. The record is from RNAcentral.